RNAcentral lists this ribosomal RNA (909 nucleotides) under Triticum aestivum (bread wheat). Its description in RNAcentral is "partial small subunit ribosomal RNA". Lineage: Eukaryota; Viridiplantae; Streptophyta; Magnoliopsida; Poales; Poaceae. The record is from RNAcentral.
AUGUCAUUUCUAUGGAAGUCAAGCAAUGGUGGUACAACGGAGAAAACCUUGACCUUGGAAGAACAGCAAGAGAAAAUAAAUGAGGUACGAAAGCAACUUGAAGAACCCUCGUCGCUAGCAAUACAGGGUUUCCUUUCGGAUGCCUCGAUACUGAGAUUCCUUCGAGCUAGAAACUGGAAUGUGCAGAAAUCGAGUAAAAUGCUGAAAUCAGCUGUGAAGUGGCGAGCAGCAUACAAGCCAGAAAUGAUUUCCUGGGAAGAAAUUGCACAUGAAGCAGAGACUGGAAAGAUAUAUAGGGCUGACUACAAGGACAAACUUGGAAGAACUGUUCUUGUUCUGAGGCCAGGCUUAGAGAACACUACCUCGGGGAAGGAACAAAUUAAGUAUCUUGUUUACUCUCUGGAGAAAGCGAUUAUGAAUCUGACGGAUGAUCAGGAGAAGAUGGUGUGGAUGAUAGACUUCCAGGGCUGGACCAUGGGAAGCACACCGCUCAAGGUGACCCGGGAGACCGUGAGUGUCUUGCAAGACUGUUAUCCCGAGAGAUUGGGACUUGCAAUCCUUUACAAUCCUCCUAGAUUAUUUGAGUCUUUCUAUAAGAUAGUGAAGCCAUUCUUGGACCAUGAGACUAGCAAGAAGGUGAAGUUUGUGUAUUCCAAUGAUAAGGAGAGCCAGAAGAUAAUGGCAGAGGUCUUCGACAUGGACAAGCUCGACUCGGCAUUCGGAGGAAGGAAUCUAGCCACCUUUGAAUACAGCAGCUACGCAGAACAAAUGAAAGAGGAUGACAAGAAGAUGCAAUCUAAUGAUGCGGGCUCUGACGCUUCAAGCGAGGCUUCCUUCUACAGCGGAACAGAUUCCCCGAAGCACGAAGAUGGAGAGCACGGCGCGAUGAAGAAGGCCUGCGCCACUUAA